AUAGCUGAAUUGUUGGCUAUACGGUUUUUAGAUGGCCCCGUUAAUCUUCUCUUAGUCGCCAAACUUGCUGAAGAUUAUCGGGGUUUUCACUU
Molecule: non-coding RNA, 92 nt
Organism: Escherichia coli E110019
Lineage: Bacteria; Pseudomonadati; Pseudomonadota; Gammaproteobacteria; Enterobacterales; Enterobacteriaceae
Source: Rfam